AUGCCCGAUGGUGUUAAUGAUACAACAAUUGUUCCCAUCCCUAAAGUUCCUCAUCCAAAGGAACUAAAGGAUUUUCGCCCAAUCAGCUUGUGUAAUGUGGUAUACAAGAUUGUUUCCAAGUGCAUGGUGAACAGGUUGAGGCCCCUCCUCACGGACCUCAUUUCUGAAAACCAAAGUGCAUUCAUUUCAGGGAGACUUAUAUCGGAUAAUUCUAUCAUUGCUUUUGAAUGUAUUCAUCAUAUUCAGUCGAUUAAGCAUAAUUCACCAAGCUUAUGUGCCUACAAGCUGGACUUAUCAAAAGCCUAUGAUCGUGUUGAUUGGGAAUUCUUGGAGAAGGCACUGGCCAAAUGGGGUUUUUCUUAG
This 363-nucleotide ribosomal RNA is filed under the name Triticum aestivum (bread wheat). Its description in RNAcentral is "partial small subunit ribosomal RNA". Lineage: Eukaryota; Viridiplantae; Streptophyta; Magnoliopsida; Poales; Poaceae. The record is from RNAcentral.